RNAcentral lists this long non-coding RNA (590 nucleotides) under Brachypodium distachyon (stiff brome). Its description in RNAcentral is "long non-coding RNA (BDIS_LNC002359)". The record is from RNAcentral. Lineage: Eukaryota; Viridiplantae; Streptophyta; Magnoliopsida; Poales; Poaceae.
CCGAGGUAAGGGUUGGGGUUAGGUUUAAUUUUCUGUUUAUGUUUAGUUAGGGUUUAAAAUCUUAUUGUUUAUGUUUAGUUAGGGUUUAAAAUCUUUAGUUCUAUAGUUAAUUAGGGUUGAAUCUUGCUUUUUUCUUAAUUAGGGUUGAGUCUUAUUGUUUAUGUUUAGUUAGGGUUUAAAUAUUGUUGUUUAUGUUUAGUUCUAUAGUUAGUUAGGGUUGAAUCUUGCUGUUUUUUUAAUUAGGGUUGUUGUUUGUGUUUAAUUAGAGUUUAAAUAUUGUUGUUUAUGUUUAGUUCUAACUAUUUAGGGUUUAUAUUGCUGUUUAUGAUUGAGUAUUGAUGUUAUUGUUGUUUAUGGUUUAAUAAUACAUGGAUGUGAUCCCGACUAUCAUGUCGGUUCCUAUGAGGAAUGUGGGCCCGGCCAUCGUGCCAAGGGGGUAUAUGUGGCUGGGAGUUUUUUUUUAUGCAGGUAUAACAUUCGGGUAGACUCAUUUGUUGUUUUACAACAAUGGUCAUGCCGAAAUUUUCUUGUUUUACAGCAUAGAUCAUGCCGAUUUUUCCGUUUUUUAAAUUUACUUCUAUAAGUGUUGG